GAGUUUGAUUAUGGCUCAGAUUGAACGCUGGCGGCAGGCUUAACACAUGCAAGUCGAACGAUGAUUACUAGCUUGCUAGUAUGAUUAGUGGCGAACGGGUGAGUAAUGCUUAGGAAUCUGCCUAUUAGUGGGGGACAACAUUCCGAAAGGAAUGCUAAUACCGCAUACGUCCUACGGGAGAAAGCAGGGGAUCGCAAGACCUUGCGCUAAUAGAUGAGCCUAAGUCGGAUUAGCUAGUUGGUGGGGUAAAGGCCUACCAAGGCGACGAUCUGUAGCUGGUCUGAGAGGAUGAUCAGCCACACUGGGACUGAGACACGGCCCAGACUCCUACGGGAGGCAGCAGUGGGGAAUAUUGGACAAUGGGCGAAAGCCUGAUCCAGCCAUGCCGCGUGUGUGAAGAAGGCCUUUUGGUUGUAAAGCACUUUAAGUGGGGAGGAAAAGCUAAUAAUUAAUACCUAUUAGCC
This 464-nucleotide ribosomal RNA is filed under the name Moraxella sp. canine oral taxon 017. Its description in RNAcentral is "bacterial SSU rRNA". It matches the Rfam family "Bacterial small subunit ribosomal RNA", at positions 9 to 469 of the family's 1533-position model. The record is from RNAcentral. Lineage: Bacteria; Pseudomonadati; Pseudomonadota; Gammaproteobacteria; Moraxellales; Moraxellaceae.